AGUUUCAUGACUACAAUUUUCCACCAUAAAGAUAAGAUCAUUCCAGUUGUGUGACUGCUGGAUAUAGGGGAAAACAAUGUUAAAAAUUUGAAGGAUAUUUUUGCAGAUUCGGAACUUCACUCUCCUCAUAUUGGAUUGUUUGGCAUCAUAUUAUAUUGCAGAUUUGUUUUUCCACAGGUUCCAACAUAUAACGAUGGGAAGGGCCUGAUUCAUGAGCUUGAAAAUGCCGGUAAUUGAAUUUGAAUAGUGGCUAGAAGUAAACUCGAUCCAAUCCAGAGAACAAUGAAGAGUU
RNAcentral lists this unclassified non-coding RNA (292 nucleotides) under Hevea brasiliensis (rubber tree). Lineage: Eukaryota; Viridiplantae; Streptophyta; Magnoliopsida; Malpighiales; Euphorbiaceae. The record is from RNAcentral.